Long non-coding RNA from Juglans microcarpa x Juglans regia, 370 nucleotides. RefSeq lists it as uncharacterized. Lineage: Eukaryota; Viridiplantae; Streptophyta; Magnoliopsida; Fagales; Juglandaceae. The transcript is spliced from 2 exons. The record is from RefSeq and is a predicted model, not a curated record.
UCUUUGCCAUAUAAUGAUGAGUUUAUCUUGUUUCUAUUAUUUGUGCACUUUUCUAGUGGUCACAUGAUGUACAUCACAUGGCUCUUCCAAACUCUAUCCAUGGUGGGUCAGAGCAACUUUUCUUGGAGCUGAUUGAAUUUACCUUUUCAUAUCUGUUGUCCUUAGCUUGCAGAAUCCAUGUACGAGUACAAGGUAUGAUGUUCCUGAUCUUAGAGGGUUCCCUUCAAUGCAGGCCUUGGGAAUGAGGCUGUUGAAGAAGGUUGAUAGACCUGAAUACAAGUACACCAUAGCCAUGUUGGGGUAUGCAGAAGAACAUGAGACAACUGUUCUGGAGCUAACUUACAAUUAUGGUGUGACUGAAUAUACCAAG